This 518-nucleotide ribosomal RNA is filed under the name uncultured bacterium. RNAcentral describes it as "bacterial SSU rRNA". It matches the Rfam family "Bacterial small subunit ribosomal RNA", at positions 8 to 526 of the family's 1533-position model. The record is from RNAcentral.
AGAGUUUGAUCCUGGCUCAGGACGAACGCUGGCGGCGUGCUUAACACAUGCAAGUCGCACGGGGCCCGCAAGGGUUCAGUGGCGAACGGGUGCGUAACACGUGAGAAAUCUGUCCAUCGGCGGGGGAUAGCCGGCCCAACGGCCGGGUAAUACCGCGUACGUCGGCGAGAACGCAUGUUCUUGCCGGGAAAGCAGCAAUGCACCGAUGGAGGAUCUCGCGGCCUAUCAGCUUGUUGGCGGGGUAAUGGCCCACCAAGGCGAUGACGGGUAGCUGGUCUGUGAGGACAGACAGCCAGACUGGGACUGAGACACGGCCCAGACUCCUACGGGAGGCAGCAGUGGGGAAUCUUGCGCAAUGCGCGAAAGCGUGACGCAGCAACGCCGCGUGGGGGAAGACGGCCUUCGGGUUGUAAACCCCUUUCAGGAGGGACGAAGGCUCACCGGUGAAUAGCCGUGUGGGUUGACGGUACCUCCAGAAGAAGCUCCGGCUAACUACGUGCCAGCCGCCGCGGUAAUAC